AUCCACUCCACGAAAAUUUGUGCCUGUAUAGCUUCUUUGCAUUGACUCAAGCUGCAAGAUAACACGAGCCAUUCGACCGAGCUCUUCGUCUUUUCGUUAAUUGGCCACCGACGAUGCACUAAUUUCAUAUCGCCUGACAUUUUGACCGGUCGGGUCAAAUGAUCGAAAACAUUGACUUGGAUUGUAAACCGAGCGAGUCACCAAGUGCGCAGACGUAUACGUUGCCUACGUAUUAAACUCAGCGAGGUGUAAACAUGAUUAAUUAUCAGUUUCACUUAAAAACAGUACGCAAUAUGAUUUGAAGAGACACAGAGAGCAAGAGCAGGAAAGUUUGUGAACUUUCUACGAGAUAGAAAUUGGAUUUGUCUUCGGUAGAGGAUGAUACUAGGGAAUCGAGUUUCACCGAAUUCGAUGGUCUUCGUGUCACUUUGGCUUCGAGAAGCAUGACGGUAUUCACAGGAGAACGUUAGUACAUGAAUAUUUAUGAGCGCGAACAUUCUAGGUACGUAAUCGCGAUAGGCUUUGAAAUCGGACAGUCGCAUUGGCGGUGGAUCGAAUACCUUUUUUUAUCAUUUGGCAUCGGUGUGCUUACACUACGACGUGGAAAUCACACGUGGGAUCGAUGGGCGUUGAUAUCUGGAGGGAAGCAAGGCGAAACGGAAGCCUGAAUUAUAUUAAGACCGAUGAAAAAAAGUAUAAACGUUAUAUUAUAUAUUAUAUAUCAUUAAUAAAUGUACAAUGUACAAUCGAAACAUUCUAACAAGAUAAAAUUAUGAAAUGUAUUGUCCAUUUACAGAUUUACAAAAGGCCACCCAUAUUAAUACUGUAAUUAUUAUGAUAAAUUGUGCGUUUGAAUAUAUUUAAGUCUCAAAAAUAUAUGUAUUUUAUCCCUUGA
Long non-coding RNA from Bombus huntii, 895 nucleotides. RefSeq lists it as uncharacterized. The record is from RefSeq and is a predicted model, not a curated record. The transcript has 2 exons. Lineage: Eukaryota; Metazoa; Arthropoda; Insecta; Hymenoptera; Apidae.